UCCGUAGGUGGCAAGCGUUGUCCGGAAUUAUUGGGCGUAAAGCGCGCGCAGGCGGUCCCUUAAGUCUGAUGUGAAAGCCCACGGCUCAACCGUGGAGGGUCAUUGGAAACUGGGGGACUUGAGUACAGAAGAGGAAAGUGGAAUUCCACGUGUAGCGGUGAAAUGCGUAGAGAUGUGGAGGAACACCAGUGGCGAAGGCGACUUUCUGGUCUGUAACUGACGCUGAGGCGCGAAAGCGUGGGGAGCAAACAGG
Molecule: ribosomal RNA, 253 nt
Filed under: uncultured bacterium
Lineage: Bacteria
Description: partial 16S ribosomal RNA
Rfam family: Bacterial small subunit ribosomal RNA
Source: RNAcentral